This 637-nucleotide ribosomal RNA is filed under the name uncultured bacterium. Its description in RNAcentral is "bacterial SSU rRNA". It matches the Rfam family "Bacterial small subunit ribosomal RNA", at positions 202 to 842 of the family's 1533-position model. The record is from RNAcentral.
UAAAGAUUCAUCGCUGAUAGAUAGGCAUGCGCUCCAUUAGGCAGUUGGCGGGGUAACGGCCCACCAAACCGACGAUGGAUAGGGGUUCUGAGAGGAAGGUCCCCCACAUUGGUACUGAGACACGGACCAAACUCCUACGGGAGGCAGCAGUGAGGAAUAUUGGUCAAUGGGCGUAAGCCUGAACCAGCCAAGUCGCGUGAGGGAUGAAGGUUCUAUGGAUCGUAAACCUCUUUUAUAAGGGAAUAAAGUGCGGGACGUGUCCCGUUUUGUAUGUACCUUAUGAAUAAGGAUCGGCUAACUCCGUGCCAGCAGCCGCGGUAAUACGGAGGAUCCGAGCGUUAUCCGGAUUUAUUGGGUUCAAAGGGUGCGUAGGCGGCCUUUUAAGUCAGCGGUGAAAGUCUGUGGCUCAACCAUAGAAUUGCCGUUGAAACUGGGAGGCUUGAGUAUGUUUGAGGCAGGCGGAAUGCGUGGUGUAGCGGUGAAAUGCUUAGAUAUCACGCAGAACCCCGAUUGCGAAGGCAGCCUGCCAAGCCAUGACUGACGCUGAUGCACGAAAGCGUGGGGAUCAAACAGGAUUAGAUACCCUGGUAGUCCACGCAGUAAACGAUGAUCACUAGCUGUUUGCGAUACACAGUAA